GGAUGUGAGGGCGAUCUGGCUGUGACAUCUGUCACCCACUGAUCGCCAGGGUUGAUUCGGCUGAUCUGGCUGGCUAGGCGGGUGUCCCCUUCCUCCCUCACUGCUCCAUGUGUGUCCAUCCCGAAGCUACACACUCGUCCAAGAGGGCAACCACCCUCAAUAGAGGAGGACCAUUUCCUUGGUCAGGGACCAGUUCCUCUGUCAAGGGUAUACGAGUAGCUGUGCUCCCCAGCUAGAACCUCCAAACAAGCUCUCAGGAGUUACUUAUGCAUUUGUACACAAAUAAAGCAAUCUAAAAUGUUGACACAGACUAGAAUGGACUUGUAUGUUUUCACCACCAAUUAACCCAUCCUA
This is an unclassified non-coding RNA of Fukomys damarensis (Damara mole-rat), 354 nucleotides long. Its record names the gene 7SK. It matches the Rfam family "7SK RNA". Rfam says of the family: 7SK was discovered as an abundant small nuclear RNA in the mid-70s but a possible function has only recently been suggested. Two independent studies have found that 7SK RNA binds the CDK9/cyclin T complex (known as elongation factor P-TEFb). P-TEFb activates transcription by phosphorylating the C-terminal domain of RNA polymerase II. Lineage: Eukaryota; Metazoa; Chordata; Mammalia; Rodentia; Bathyergidae. The record is from Ensembl.